This 301-nucleotide ribosomal RNA is filed under the name uncultured bacterium. RNAcentral describes it as "partial 16S ribosomal RNA". It matches the Rfam family "Bacterial small subunit ribosomal RNA", at positions 509 to 807 of the family's 1533-position model. The record is from RNAcentral.
CAGUCGCCACGGUAAUACGUAAGGGGCGAGCGUUGUUCGGAAUUAUUGGGCGUAAAGGGCAUGUAGGCGGUUGGGUAAGCCUGGCGUGAAAUCUACGAGCUUAACUCGUAAACUGCGUUGGGUACUGCCCAUCUUGAAUCAUAGAGGGGAAACUGGAAUUCCAAGUGUAGGGGUGGAAUCUGUAGAUAUUUGGAAGAACACCGGUGGCGAAGGCGGGUUUCUAGCUAAUGAUUGACGCUAAGGUGCGAAGGUGCGGGGAGCAAACAGGAUUAGAUACCCGGGUAGUCCCUGUCUCUUAUAC